GGUACACGCUGUGACUAGCAUAUCAAUAAGCGGAGGAAAAGAAACUAACAAGGAUUCCCCUAGUAACAGGCGAGUGAAGCGGGAAGAGCUCAAAUUUGAAAUCUUAAAGGGUUUCCCUUUACGAAUUGUAGUUUAAAGAAGUGUUUUCUGUUGAGGUUUUGGUAAAAGUUCUUUGGAAUAGGACAUCAUAGAGGGUGAGAAUCCCGUAUUUGACCUUUACUUUCAACUUUGUGAUACACUUUCAAAGAGUCGGAUUGUUUGGGAAUGCAGUCCAAAAUGGGUGGUAAAUUUCAUCUAAAGCUAAAUAUUGGCGAGAGACCGAUAGCGAACAAGUACCGUGAGGGAAAGAUGAAAAGAACUUUGAAAAGAGAGUUAAACAGUACGUGAAAUUGUCAAAAGGGAAGCGUUUGACACCAGUGUUGUUUUUCUGAAAAUCAAUUAAAGAACUGUUUAUGCUAAGCUGUUUAGACUUUAUCAGCUAUCUGUUUAGUUUUGAGCUUCUCUUUAAUGCACUUUUCAGUUAACAAGUCAACAUCAAUUUCUUUUGCUGUAAAAAAGCUUGAGGAAGGUGGCUUGAGAUUCGUCUUAAGUGUUUAUAGCCUCUUGCCUAUGCAGUCGGAGAGAUUGAGGUCUGCAGCGUAGAUCCUUCGGGGCUAAAUGCAUUUGUGCUAAGUUAUAGCAUUUUAUAGACAACUUGUUGACUAUGAUUUGUCUUGUAGCUUACUCGCUUAUGUUAUUUUACCUACGCUUAGGAUGUUGAUAUGCAUGACUGAUAU
Molecule: ribosomal RNA, 776 nt
Filed under: uncultured Neocallimastigales
Lineage: Eukaryota; Fungi; Neocallimastigomycota; Neocallimastigomycetes; Neocallimastigales
Description: partial large subunit ribosomal RNA
Rfam family: Eukaryotic large subunit ribosomal RNA
Source: RNAcentral